GCAUGCUCAUCUACAGAAGCGCCGCUUGGCCUUUGGACUAACCUAUCUGUCGCGCUAACGGGCCGGCGUCGCCGCCAGGGGACGCUCGGGCAGCAGGGUGGUCGCUGGGUGGUGAGCUGGCGCCGGGGACGCCGAGCGACUGCGGGGCUUCUGUCAGCGUCCUGCUAUGCGGCUGCCCGCCUCGCUCCCUGGUAGUGUCCGUGGACGCGCAGGCCUUGAAGAACCUCCUCGCGGCGGGCCCCCGAGCGCAGGAGAGGUGUGAAAGCGCCGACGCGUCUCCAGAGCCCCGGGAGGAAGGCUGUAACGGCAGCCCCAUCGUAGACAGGGACAUUCGCAUCCCGAGCCCUGGAUCUCUGAAAAGCAGACCAGAAUUUGGAAGCUGGACGGAACCUUAGAUCGUCCAUUCUGGGUGUCUCUCUUCGCUGGCGUUUUCCCACGAGAGGAACCUACAAGUGUCAAGGAAAAAAGGACAGCUAACCACAGGGCAGGCCACGGGCAAGAUAUCUCAGUGUUCUCCGCUCUCAGGUCAGGUAGGUACCGUCGGCAUCCCCAUUUUACAGAUGAGGAAACUCAGGUGGCCCAGAGUCUAGGUCACGUGACAGAUCGCCCCCCACCUGCCUGACUCCUGCCUAAGAGUCUCGGUCUUUUUCUGAAGGUGCAGUUGACAGGAGCCUGUGAGUACUGGGGAAGGGCCAGGGGCCAGGACUGAGCUUACCCCUGCAUCUAGUCCAAACUUUCCCAUUUCGAAGGUUUAAAAGACCAGAUACACUUUUUUCUUCCUUAUUAUCUUUUAAAAUGUAUAUAUUCAAGUGAGCUAUAAAAAAGGAAGCACGUAACAUACAUAAAUUAUAAAGCAUAAUAAUAAAAUGGAAGCUUUUGAAC
Long non-coding RNA from Mandrillus leucophaeus (drill), 882 nucleotides. RefSeq lists it as uncharacterized. The transcript has 2 exons. The record is from RefSeq and is a predicted model, not a curated record. Lineage: Eukaryota; Metazoa; Chordata; Mammalia; Primates; Cercopithecidae.